Molecule: ribosomal RNA, 717 nt
Filed under: Rhizoctonia solani
Lineage: Eukaryota; Fungi; Basidiomycota; Agaricomycetes; Cantharellales; Ceratobasidiaceae
Description: eukaryotic LSU rRNA
Rfam family: 5.8S ribosomal RNA (bases 260-413)
Source: RNAcentral
AUCAGACCUUCCGUAGGCACUCUUGCGGAAGGAUCAUUAUGGUCCAAAGCAACGCACCGCCAAGCAGGUGCUCCCCUUUUCCACCUUAAUUUGGCACGAGCGGCAUGUGCACACCGCCCCCUUCAUCAGCACGCACCCGUGCACUCCUGACACAGCAAUAGUUGGUGGAUUUAAUUCCAUCAUCCAUUUGCUGUCUACGUAAUUUACACACACUCUACUUAAUUUAAACUGAAAGUAAUUGAUGUAACGCCCCAAUACUAAAUUUCAACAACGGAUCUCUUGGCUCUCGCAUCAAUGAAGAACGCACCGAAAUGCGAUAAGUAAGGUCAAUUGCACAAAUCAGUGAAUCAUCCAAUCGUUGAACGCACCAUGCGCUCCUUGGUAUUCCUUGGAGCAGGCCGGUUUGAAUAGCAUGAAAUCUUCAAAGUAAACCUUUUGUUAAUUCAAUUGGUCUUUUUUACUUUGGUUUUGGAGGAUCUGAUAGCAGCUUCACACCUGCUCCUCCCCGUGCAUUAGCUGGAUCUCAGUCCACGCUUGGUUCCACUCCGCGUGAUAAGUUAUCGAUCGAUGAAGACACCCGUAAAAAAGGUGGCCAAGGUAAAUGCAGAUGAACCGCUUCUAAUAGUCCAUUGACUUGAACAAUAUUCUAUCUUAUGAUCUGACCUCAAAUCAAGUAGGAAUACCCCCGCAACUUAAGCAUAUCAAUAAGCGGAGGAA